UCAGAUUUCAAGAGAAAAACACAUAAUGGCAACCUGCAGCAGAAAUGCUUGCUUUUACUGAGCUGGAGGACAACUCCAAUCUCGAGAGCCAGAAGGAAAAGGAUAGAAGCACUUAGAGGUUCCUGACUUCACAGCUCUGUUUGGGCAUACCCUUGAUAAUCAAAUAUGAACCCGGGAAGUGAAUUUCCUUUUACUCCAUCAAAGCAUGAGAUAAGAAGUUAAGGCUUAAGAUUGAAGGUCAGUGAAAAUUAUUGGUGCUCUCUUUUUUAGUUAUCGUAAAAAUGAAAAGAGGAUUUCUCACAUCUAUAUAUAUGUUGUUCUUAUAUCUGGAACACUUUUACAUUUGGGUUGGAUGUGGAGUUAGUUGGAAUCUGGUAGUUUCUAUCAUCCUUUCUUAAUGCUUCAAAAGUGAUUCAUUUGGUGGCUCUUUCUUAUUUCAUUGAACUCCUAAUCAUGCCACAAUACUGUAUUAAAGAAUAUCCAUGGAUUUCUACUUGCCCGAGAGAUACAUUUUCUGAUCUUUACAUGAAAGACUUUCAUAAUCUCACACCAUCUUUUUUUUUUUUUUAGCCUUAUGUUUUUAUUGUCCAGAAGCAACAGAUUCUGGACACAUUCUGCUUCUCUGCCUACUGUCCAUUGAUCUGCCCCACUGUGUCUAUACCACCUUCUUCAUAAAACUUUCCAAACAUGGGAGCUUCAGGCAGAGCCAAUCGCUCUCUGCUGCUCCCAGAAUCCUCUGCUCCCAGCAUUGGCUCAUCAUGGAUUCCACCCUUCCCUGUAAGUCAUGUAUGUAACUCUCUUGCUACUUUGGCUGUGAGAACUAUGAGGUCAGAGACUGUGACUCUUCCUUUUUGUACAAACUGGUAUUUGUGUGUGUGUGCAUGUGUGAAUUGAAAAGUUCAUUAUUUUUUUCUUUUUAUUUGUUCUUUUUAGAUGUACAUGACAGUAGAAUGUAUUUUGACAUAUUAUACAUAUAUGGAGUAUAACUUACAUAUGAACAUAGGAAAGUUUUGUCCAAUUCCUUCUACUGUCUUUCUUCUUCCCAUCCCAACUCCCUUCUCUAUCUUCCCCUUUCUCUAAUCCAAUGAGCUUUUAUUCUUUGCUCUCCCACUUAUUGUGUGUUAGCAUCCACAUAUCAAAGAGAGCAUUUGACCUUUGGUUUUUUUGGAACUGGCUUAUUUCACUUAGCAUGAUAGUCCCCAGUUCCAUCCAUUUACCAGCAAAUGCCAUAAUUUCAUUCUUCUUUAUGGCUGAGUAAUAUUUCAUUGUGUGUAUAUACCAUGUUUUCUUUAUCUAUUCAUCUGUUGAAGGACAUUGUGUGUAUAUACCAUGUUUUCUUUAUCUAUUCAUCUGUUGAAGGACACCUAGGCUUGUUCCAUAGCUUAGCUAUUGGGAAUUGAGAUUCUAUAAACAUUGAUGUGGCUGUGUCACUGUGGUAUGCUGUUUUUAAGUCCUUUGGGUAUAAAGUGAGGAGUGGGAUAACUGGGUCAAAUGAUGGUUCCAUUCCAAUUUUUCUGAGGAAUCUCCAUCCUGCUUUCUAGAUUGACUGCACCAAUUUGAAGUCCCACCAGCAAUGUAUAUCUUUUCCCUCACAUCCUCACCAACAUUUAUUAUCACUUGCCUUCUUGAUAAUUGCCAUUCUUACUAGAGUGAGGUGAAAUCUCAGGGUGGUUUUAAUUGGAUUUCUCUAAUUGCUAGAGAUGUUGAACUUUUUUUUUCCUUUUUUAUGGUACCAGGGAUUGAACUCACUGGCACUUGACCCCAAGCCACAUCCCCAGCCCUAUUUUGUAUUUUUAUUUAGAAACAGGGUCUCACUGAGUUGCUUAGUGCCUUACUUUUGCUGGGGCUGGCUUUGAACUUGGGAUUCUCCUGCCUCAGCCUCCUGAGCCACUGGGACUACAAGCAUGCACCACCGUGCCUGGCUUGAACAUUUUUUCGUAUAUUUGUUGACCAUCCAUAUUUCUUCUUCUGUAAAGUGCCUCUUCAGUUCCUUUGCCCAUUUAUCAACUGUGUUAUUUGUUGUUGGUUUUCUUGUUUGUUUGUUUGUUUGUGUAGUUGUUUUAGUGUUGUUUGAGUUCUUUAUAUAUCUUGGAGAUUAAUGCUCUAUCUGAGGUGCAGUUGGCAAAGAUUUUCUCCCAUUCUGUGGGCUCUCUCUUCAUGUUCUUUAAUUGUCUCCUUUGCUGUGAAGAAGCUUUUUAGUUUGAUACCAUCCCAUUUAUUGAUUCUUGAUUUUACUUCUUGCACUUUAGAAGUCUUAUUAAGGAAUUUGGUUCCUAAGCCAAAAUGAUGGAGAGUUGGGCCCACUUUUUCUUCUCAUAGGCACAGGGUCUCUGGCCUAAUGCCUACCUCCUUGAUCCACUUUGAGUUACAAUCUUGCAUUUAACACGAAUCUUGACACAUGAUAGAUGUUCAACAAAUCUUUAAAAAAAAAAAGUUUGAUUAAUGAAGUCUCUAUUGCCUCUAUAAAGAAGGAGACUGGGUAGCACUCUGAAGAGUGGAUACUUCUUUUUUCUGUUUUAAAUUUAUAAGCUUACUUAACUGGUUAUAAAAUGAAGAGUAACUAUAAAUCUUUUAAGACUAAAUCUUUUCAGUUUAGGAUGACUGGUGAAGCACAUGUUUUUAAUCCCUUUCCCCUUCCAAAGAUCCAUAGAACUGCCAUUCCCUCACUCAGAAAAAUUAGCAAAACAAUCUGCAUUGGCUUUGCAAAGUAGGGAAGGGCAUUAUCCACAUGGAAACAACUUGAAGGAAUUUCUGCUAAAUACAGUGCAGAUGCAAGAAGUUCGAUAGAACCCGUCAAUAGCUUAAAACAUGUAAAACAGCUCCCACCUGAUCAAGAAGUGGAAAAGUACCAUUAAAACUCCUUGAAUAAAGUGAGUGUGCAGGGGGUGUGUACAGGGUGCUAAAAAUAGACCAGAAUACAUUGGAAAGUCGAGGCUAGUUCAGAAAGCUUUAAAAGGCUAUUUGAAUAAACCAUGCAUGAAAAAAAUAUUAUGAGACACUUAUGGAAUUUGGACGUAGACUGAAUAUAUUUAAUGAUGUUCAGUAAGUACUAUUCCGGUUUUUUUUUUUUACAUGUAAUAAUGUUAUGGUAGUCUUUCAAUACUGUGACAAAAUACCUGAGAGAAUACUGUGACAAAAUACCUGAAAGAAACAACCGAAAGGGACAAAAGGUUUAUUUUGGCUCAUGGUUUCAGAGGUGUCCAUCCAUAGUCUCUUGUCCCUGUGUGGCACAGUGAAUCAUGGUGGAGAACCUGGUGGAGGAAGCCUGCUUACCUCAUGGCAGCAGAGAAACGAAAAGAAAGAAAGAGGAAGGGGCUGGGGUCCCAAUAGCCUAACUUCCUUCCACUGGAUCCCUCUACCUACAGGUUGCACCGCCUCUCAAUAGUACCAGGGACUGGGGAGCAAGCCUUCAACAGAUGGGCCUUUGGGGGAACAUUUACUAUCCACACUAUGGCCCGUGUAACAUAGUACUUUGGUGUUGCUCUUCAGAAAAAGUUCUUCUCUUUCCAACAUGUACUGAAAUAGAGUUAGUUCUUAUGACUCCCAGAAUCUGUAUUUGUGAAUGCACCUACUCACUAAUUUCAUUUGUAAUUGCAAAAGCAAUUUGUUCCUGGUGCUUUUCUGGUCAUUAGUGGACAUGCACGAAGUGGUUUAAAAAAAAAAAAAUCUUGAGUCAUCCAGGACUUAUGUUCGCAGAUGAAUACAGUACCUGGGUGUUGCUUUCACCCCGUACAGGACUAUCCUUUUCAUGGUUUAUCAACUAUCUUGUAAUUUGCAUUCUUGUGCCUUCUAGUAUUCCUUAGCAUAUGAAGUCUGCGAUGUGUCUCCCAGAGAAACUACAUCUGUUAACUAAGCUUCAUCCAGGCAAGAGUGAUAGGGCUGUUGGCUGCAAAUUCUAGGUUAAUGAAUUAACAGCAUGAAUUAAAUAAGGUUUCUCCAAUCAGAAACUUAAAUGCAACAAGGCUAUGUUUUGCUCACUUAGCAAAAGGGUGGCUGGAGGUUCACAAGGAGGCUAACUAUAUUUCCUCAAGGAUCAGAGAUUUAGGGUUCACUAAUUCUGUGUUCACAGCAAACUUUAAAGAACCUAACUACCCUGAAUACCAAGAAUCAGUUGUAAUCACGGAUGAAAUAUGCAUCUGAAAUUUACUGCAAAAUAAUCUGGGAGCCUGGAAGUAGAAAUAUAAAUGAAACAGAUUGGUCAAGAGUAAAUUGUUGAAAAUGUAUGACGGGUGCAUGACUGUUCAUUACACUAUUCUUUCAACUUUUGUAUAUAUCUGAACAUUCCCAUAACAAAAAGGUCUUAUUUUUUUUUUUAAGAGGGAGAGAGAAUAGUACAGUAGAAACAAAAGUUUGGAUUUCCUACAGGCCUUAAAAAUCAUUCAAUGCAUUAUAUAAAGAAAUAUAAUUGUUUAGAAGGAGAAUGAAUUAAAUUUCAUGCAGAGUAUAAAUGAUCCAGUGCCAUGUAAAGUCCGUAUAUACAAAUCUGCAAAAGUAAAAGACAAUGAAUGAGUGUGGGCUUUAUAAAUUGUAAGGUAAUAUAGAAACUUACAUGUCUUUGUUAGAAAGUGAAAAGAAAAAGGCAAGAGAUGUCUAAAUAAAAGACUGCUCUGCCAUUCAACUGCAAUAAAGCUCAGCUUUUAACCUUCAUGCUUAUUUAGCCCACGAAUAAACCUGAUUCAGACCCCUGGGGUGACUCCACCACCUCUGCCUCCCACUCACUCUCUGAGUUUGCAACAGGUCAAACCCAAGGUUGAUGCCCUUUUAUACCUUUUUUUUUUUUUUGCAACAAUGCAAAAAAAAAACCACUUCCUCUCCAGCUCUGACAUUAUUCGAGUUAAUUUUACCAAGCUGAAACUCUGGGACAUACUGUCUGCUCCCAUCCCCAACCAGUGUCUACCAAAUGCAUUUGGGGGAGGGGGGAGCUAGCCUAUGCAGAGAGAUUCCAGGAGCACAAAGGACAGGGUGGGCUAGAGCAAUCAGGGUUGCCAUGGCAGCAUAUAAGCUCUGCUUGUAUCUGUUUCAUAUCUGAGGUUUUACAAAAGAUUUUGCAAGGGGAAAAA
Molecule: long non-coding RNA, 5060 nt
Filed under: Marmota monax (woodchuck)
Lineage: Eukaryota; Metazoa; Chordata; Mammalia; Rodentia; Sciuridae
Source: RNAcentral